This 812-nucleotide ribosomal RNA is filed under the name uncultured bacterium. Its description in RNAcentral is "bacterial SSU rRNA". It matches the Rfam family "Bacterial small subunit ribosomal RNA", at positions 8 to 794 of the family's 1533-position model. The record is from RNAcentral.
AGAGUUUGAUCAUGGCUCAGAACGAACGCUGGCGGCGUGGAUUAGGCAUGCAAGUCGAACGCGAAAGAGGGGGCAACUCCUCGAGUAGAGUGGCGAACGGGUGAGUAACGCGUGAAGAACCUGCCUUCAAGAGGGGGAUAACACUCCCAACGGGGUGCUAAUACCGCAUGAGACCACGGGGUCGCAUGGCCCUGAGGUCAAAGGUGGCCUCUAUUUAUAAGCUACCGCUUGAAGAUGGCUUCGCGUCCCAUUAGCUAGUUGGCGGUGUAACGGACCACCAAGGCGACGAUGGGUAGCUGGUCUGAGAGGAUGGUCAGCCACACUGGGACUGAGAUACGGCCCAGACUCCUACGGGAGGCAGCAGUCGAGAGGCUUUGGCAAUGGGGGAAACCCUGACCAAGCGACGCCGCGUGGAGGAUGAAGGCCCUUGGGUUGUAAACUCCUUUUGUCGAGGAAGAAGUGCGAUCAGGUGAACAAUCUGGUCGUUUGACGGUACCCGACGAAUAAGCUCCGGCUAACUCCGUGCCAGCAGCCGCGGUAACACGGGGGGAGCAAGCGUUGUUCGGAAUCACUGGGCGUAAAGGGCGUGUAGGCGGAUAGGUAGGUGGGACGUGAAAUCCCUCGGCUCACCCGAGGACCUGCGUCCCAAACUGCCUGUCUUGAGUACGGGAGAGGAUGAGGGAAUUCCUGGUGUAGCGGUGAAAUGCGUAGAUAUCAGGAGGAACACCGGCGGCGAAGGCGCUCAUCUGGCCCGAUACUGACGCUGAUGCGCGAAAGCUGGGGGAGCAAACGGGAUUAGAUACCCCGGUAGU